GACAUCAUCCCCAUGAAGUCAUCAUUCACAUUUAAUUUAAUUCAUUUUAUGGUAAAAGUACAGAACAGAAAUCAAUAACACUUGAGCUGAGGUGUCCAAAUUACCUGAAUGCACCGAUUACCGAUUAUUAAAAUAAUGUAACUUGGUUACAAUCAAUUAGUUUUGGAUUAAUAACAAAUGAAGACCAGAGAAAUUAAAUAUCAAUAAAAAAGUAGCUUUUUGUGUAUCCUGUUAACAAGUGUUUAUCUGUGUUUGUUCGAUUACUUUUUAUCUUAACAUUUGACAAGAGAAGUUGCAGUAAAUAUGAUGCAGUUGAGUUUCCCCAGCAGAGACUCGAACUCAUGAUAAAAGCUGACUCUCUGAACACAGAACUCCUCCUCUACCACAGAGCUAAAGUACUCUGCAGGGCUACAGAAUUCUCUCUUUUUUUUAAAUGACGUAAACCACUUCAAAUAAGUCCAGCCCACAGGUUUUCUGACGAAUCCAUGUCGUGCAUGCCAAAAGGGGCGGUCUUGCUCGUUUCCCGCGCGAAAUUAGCGCAUUUCCCUCCAAAAAGUUAGAUGUGUAUAUAUGUAGCUGACUGAUCUUCACUCUGGUCUCUUCUCUGAGGACACGAACACGGUGAAGAGUGGGACUUGUCUUCUGCUUCAGGUGGAACGGCUCUGACCUGUAUGGUGAUCAGCGCUGGAGAGGAGAGACACCUGGUCCAACAAGGUGACAGAUGAGCCGCCACAGAACCUGAAGCAGGAAAACUGAGUAUCCAUCUUCUGAUGAAACUCCUUUAGGUCCUGCAGUUGUUUGUUGACUCUGGUUUCACCUGCUCAGACAGUGAGCACUGUUGUCGUUGCUGGUUAUUUACAUAAUAAAUUGAUAAUUACA
Molecule: long non-coding RNA, 879 nt
Organism: Acanthopagrus latus (yellowfin seabream)
Lineage: Eukaryota; Metazoa; Chordata; Actinopteri; Spariformes; Sparidae
Exons: 3
Source: RefSeq, a predicted model, not a curated record